Molecule: ribosomal RNA, 385 nt
Filed under: uncultured bacterium
Lineage: Bacteria
Description: bacterial SSU rRNA
Rfam family: Bacterial small subunit ribosomal RNA
Source: RNAcentral
AAUGGGCGCAAGCCUGACCCAGCCAUGCCGCGUGAGUGACGAAGGCCUUAGGGUUGUAAAGCUCUUUCGGCGGGGACGAUGAUGACGGUACCCGCAGAAGAAGCCCCGGCUAACUUCGUGCCAGCAGCCGCGGUAAUACGAAGGGGGCGAGCGUUGUUCGGAAUCACUGGGCGUAAAGGGCACGUAGGCGGCCGUGCAAGUUGGGCGUGAAAGCCCCGGGCUCAACCCGGGAUGUGCGCUCAAGACUGCAUGGCUCGAGUUCGGAAGAGGGUGGCGGAAUUCCCAGUGUAGAGGUGAAAUUCGUAGAUAUUGGGAAGAACACCGGUGGCGAAGGCGGCUACCUGGUCCGAUACUGACGCUGAGGUGCGAAAGCGUGGGGAGCAAA